UGAUGUGGCUCAGAGGUAGAGCACUUCCUUGGUAAGGAAGGGGUCACGGGUUCAAUUCCCGUCAUCA
Molecule: transfer RNA, 67 nt
Filed under: Agathobacter rectalis
Lineage: Bacteria; Bacillati; Bacillota; Clostridia; Lachnospirales; Lachnospiraceae
Also listed under: 21 other names
Rfam family: tRNA
About the family: Transfer RNA (tRNA) molecules are approximately 80 nucleotides in length.
Source: RNAcentral